CCCUUAGAUGUCCUGGGCCGCACGCGCGCUACACUGAUGCAUUCAACGAGUUUUUCCUUGGCCGAGAGGCCUGGGCAAUCUUUUGAACGUGCAUCGUGAUAGGGAUAGAUUAUUGCAAUUAUUAAUCUUGAACGAGGAAUUCCUAGUAAACGCAGAUCAUCAGUCUGCAUUGACUACGUCCCUGCCCUUUGUACACACCGCCCGUCGCACCUACCGAUUGAAUGGUCCGGUGAAGCCUCGGGAAUGUGACCAGUUCGCUUCAUUGUGAGUUGGUUGCGUGAACUUGUCUAAACCUUAUCAUUUAGAGGAAGGUGAAGUCGUAACA
Molecule: ribosomal RNA, 325 nt
Filed under: uncultured eukaryote
Lineage: Eukaryota
Description: partial 18S ribosomal RNA
Rfam family: Eukaryotic small subunit ribosomal RNA
Source: RNAcentral